Molecule: ribosomal RNA, 534 nt
Filed under: Microtus thomasi (Thomas's pine vole)
Lineage: Eukaryota; Metazoa; Chordata; Mammalia; Rodentia; Cricetidae
Description: partial 16S ribosomal RNA
Rfam family: Bacterial large subunit ribosomal RNA
Source: RNAcentral
GAGGCCUGCCUGCCCAGUGACAAACGUUCAACGGCCGCGGUAUCCUGACCGUGCAAAGGUAGCAUAAUCACUUGUUCCUUAAUUGGGGACUGGAAUGAAUGGCCUCACGAGGAUUCAACUGUCUCUUACCUCUAAUCAGUGAAAUUGACCUCCCCGUGAAGAGGCGGGGAUACAACAACAAGACGAGAAGACCCUAUGGAGCUUUAAUUUUCUGUCUUAACUACUAAAUAACUAACCCUACUGGGAUAAAAAAAAAGAGAAAUAAGUCAGUAAUUUCGGUGGGGGGGACCUCGGAAAAUAAAACAACCUCCAAAGGAUUUUAACCAAAACAAACAAGUCAAAGUAUUAAAAAUCAAAUUGACCCAUUUCAUUUGAUCAACGGACCAAGUUACCCUAGGGAUAACAGCGCAAUCCUAUUCAAAAGUCCAUAUCGACAAUUAGGGUUUACAACCUCGAUGUUGGAUCAGGACAUCCCAAGGGGGCAGCAGCUAUUAAGGGUUCGUUUGUUCAACAAUUAAAGCCCUACGUGAUCUG